RNAcentral lists this ribosomal RNA (1020 nucleotides) under Bacillus sp. (in: firmicutes). Its description in RNAcentral is "bacterial SSU rRNA". It matches the Rfam family "Bacterial small subunit ribosomal RNA", at positions 56 to 1050 of the family's 1533-position model. Lineage: Bacteria; Bacillati; Bacillota; Bacilli; Caryophanales; Bacillaceae. The record is from RNAcentral.
UGCAGUCGAGCGAACUGAUUAGAAGCUUGCUUCUAUGACGUUAGCGGCGGACGGGUGAGUAACACGUGGGCAACCUGCCUGUAAGACUGGGAUAACUUCGGGAAACCGAAGCUAAUACCGGAUAGGAUCUUCUCCUUCAUGGGAGAUGAUUGAAAGAUGGUUUCGGCUAUCACUUACAGAUGGGCCCGCGGUGCAUUAGCUAGUUGGUGAGGUAACGGCUCACCAAGGCCACGAUGCAUAGCCGACCUGAGAGGGUGAUCGGCCACACUGGGACUGAGACACGGCCCAGACUCCUACGGGAGGCAGCAGUAGGGAAUCUUCCGCAAUGGACGAAAGUCUGACGGAGCAACGCCGCGUGAGUGAUGAAGGCUUUCGGGUCGUAAAACUCUGUUGUUAGGGAAGAACAAGUACAAGAGUAACUGCUUGUACCUUGACGGUACCUAACCAGAAAGCCACGGCUAACUACGUGCCAGCAGCCGCGGUAAUACGUAGGUGGCAAGCGUUAUCCGGAAUUAUUGGGCGUAAAGCGCGCGCAGGCGGUUUCUUAAGUCUGAUGUGAAAGCCCACGGCUCAACCGUGGAGGGUCAUUGGAAACUGGGGAACUUGAGUGCAGAAGAGAAAAGCGGAAUUCCACGUGUAGCGGUGAAAUGCGUAGAGAUGUGGAGGAACACCAGUGGCGAAGGCGGCUUUUUGGUCUGUAACUGACGCUGAGGCGCGAAAGCGUGGGGAGCAAACAGGAUUAGAUACCCUGGUAGUCCACGCCGUAAACGAUGAGUGCUAAGUGUUAGAGGGUUUCCGCCCUUUAGUGCUGCAGCUAACGCAUUAAGCACUCCGCCUGGGAGUACGGUCGCAAGACUGAAACUCAAAGGAAUUGACGGGGGGCCCGCACAAGCGGUGGGAGCAUGUGGUUUUAAUUCGAAGCAACGCGAAGAACCUUACCAGGUCUUGACAUCCUCUGACAACUCUAGAAGAUAGAGCGUUCCCCUUCGGGGGGACAGAGUGACAGGUGGGUGCAUGGUU